AAUAGGAGAAUGACAAAUUAAAUUAAUUAUUCUGAUUUUCAGCUUUUUCUUCGUGAAAAAGUUUAAAUCCAACUAAAAAUGUUAAAAAUCAGAAAAAAAAAAUUUGAUUUGUCAUUCUCCUACC
Molecule: non-coding RNA, 124 nt
Organism: Gossypium raimondii (Peruvian cotton)
Lineage: Eukaryota; Viridiplantae; Streptophyta; Magnoliopsida; Malvales; Malvaceae
Source: Rfam